Molecule: long non-coding RNA, 550 nt
Organism: Centropristis striata (black sea bass)
Lineage: Eukaryota; Metazoa; Chordata; Actinopteri; Perciformes; Serranidae
Exons: 3
Source: RefSeq, a predicted model, not a curated record
AUUUGACUCAGCUGUGUUGGAGCAGGAAGAGAUCUAAAUCAUGUGUUGGGAAAUGCUGGUCUAAUGGGUCUUAGCUUCUGCAUGAAGCACAUGACCAGAAUGAAAUCAUGGAUGCACUCUGUCAAUGGUGCAGAACUCACCUUUUUCUUCAAAAGCUUCAAGAGUGAUUGAUGCCCAAGACGGGCAUUUUACUCAACAUUUGCAAACAAUAUGCAUUUAUUGUGUGAACCUGCUAAGCUGGGAGAUCUGCAUUUGCAAAUGGGAACCCUGUUUAUUGCAAUAAAACUCAGAAACGACAGAUGCAAUCUUACGAUUCAUGUUUUAUAUUCAUUCAAGAGGAGCUAAGACAACAGAUCGUAGAAGCAAAGACACAGAUGGAACUUAAUUAACAUCAAUGAUGUCUUGGUUCCAUUAAGGUGUUUCGCCACGUCAGUUUGGAUCUGAGACAGACAUUAAAAGCUUUUAACAGACAAAACACAAGUUAAAUUUUAUUGUGAAGUAGUCGUGUGUUUGUCAGUGAGAUUGACAAUGACCGUGAUCAUUAAUUAAA